Non-coding RNA from Salmo salar (Atlantic salmon), 54 nucleotides. Lineage: Eukaryota; Metazoa; Chordata; Actinopteri; Salmoniformes; Salmonidae. The record is from Rfam.
UGCAUUCACUACUGUAAGUCGCUCUGGAUAAGAGCGUCUGCUAAAUAUUACAAA